GCCCUUGCGUAAGCAAGGGAGUGGCGGACGGGUGAGGAACACGUGGGUCAUCUGCCCAGAGGUGAGGAAUACCGGCGAGAAAUCGCCGACAAUACCGCAUACGUUUCGCAAGAAACAAAGUCGCAAGACGCCUUUGGAUGAGCCUGCGUCCGAUUAGCUGGUUGGUGGGGUAAAAGCCUACCAAGGCAACGAUCGGUAGCUGGUCUGAGAGGACGAUCAGCCACACUGGGAUUGAGAACGGCCCAGACUCCUACGGGAGGCAGCAGUGAGGAAUUUUCGGCAAUGGGCGCAAGCCUGAUCCAGCAAUGCCGCGUGAGUGAUGAAGGCCUUAGGG
Molecule: ribosomal RNA, 334 nt
Filed under: uncultured bacterium
Lineage: Bacteria
Description: bacterial SSU rRNA
Rfam family: Bacterial small subunit ribosomal RNA
Source: RNAcentral